Molecule: ribosomal RNA, 292 nt
Filed under: uncultured Acidobacteriota bacterium
Lineage: Bacteria; Pseudomonadati; Acidobacteriota
Description: uncultured Acidobacteria bacterium partial 16S ribosomal RNA
Source: RNAcentral
GGACUACUGGGGUUUCUAAUCCUGUUUGCUACCCACGCUUUCGCGCCUCAGCGUCAGUACCGGUCCAGGUAGCCGCCUUCGCCACUGGUGUUCCUCCCAGUAUCUACGCAUUUCACCGCUACACUGGGAAUUCCGCUACCCCCUCCCGGCCUCAAGCCUCACAGUUUCAAAGGCAGUUCCUCAGUUGAGCCGAGGGAUUUCACCUUUGACUUACGAAGCCGCCUACGCGCCCUUUACGCCCAAUAAUUCCGAAUAACGCUCGCCCCCUCCGUAUUACCGCGGCUGCUGGCAC